CAUGGUUGGCUCCGGGGACGGUCGCUACCUCAUUUCUUCCCUCUGGAGGGUGUCCGACUCCACUCCCGCGAUCCCCUCGCUACGCUGCCAGCCUUUGCAGCGCGCCCCCUCCGGUGCCGCGAGCGGUAGCCACCUCGCCAGCCUCACAUCCUUGCUGUCCGAGAGGAAGAUCUCGGAAAUCGCCAAGACCUGGGGUUACCCCGCGGGAAAAGCCACUUGAAUUCUGACACUCCACCCCCAGGCUGAAUUGCAACCUCACUGAAUAAAUAAUUUUAUUCUAUUAAAGAAAAUAAAGGAAGAGCAAACACACACCGAGACUUAUCUUUCAUUAUCUUGGAGCCCUUUCUCCACAGGUAAAGAGCAGAAAGUGAAAAGAGAAAUAAGUGGUAAUAAGAUGAUUGGAGGGAACACUGUAGUAUAUAGUUGAUUUUAAAAAGGUGCUUCCAACUCCGAACCCCCAGUAGUGUCCCCUUCUUGGGUCAGGUCUCAAGGUAGAGCAGUUUUCUGAGAUGUAUACAAUUUCUAAGUAAUGCUUGUGUGUGGUUAAAACUCAGUUUACUUCGCAAGCCAGUCAUUCAAUUUUAUUACAUCAUUGUCACAUUAUGGAUGAGAAUUCCUAGUAAAAAUUCAAAUGACAGUUUUUUAUUUGUGUCAAAUACUGCCCAGCCACCCACUACUAGGAAUGAUUAGCACUAAUCAUUUUCUUCUCUUGUGUCAGCUGGACAAUGUUGCUUUAAUCAUCUGACCAGCUUGACCUUUGGCUUGUUAACUCAUUUCUGGGCUCUUGGAAUAACUGGCUUGCCUCUGUGGUCUGCUCAGUCAAAGCAAAAACACUUCAAGCUGCAAUGUGUGAUAUGUCCAGAUGAGACCCUGCAUCAAAGUCUCAGAGUCAUGGGUGCUGAGUUUCAAUUUAACUAACUUUCCUGCGUACCUUUGGGUACCAGGCCCUGAGCUGGGAGCAGACCCAAUUCCUGUCUCCCAGAAGCUCCCAUUCCAACGAAGGAUGUAAACUCCACUCAAUGCUGGGCUGCCACUGGAAUGUAGAUUCUAUGAGAGCAUCCUAUAUCCCCCAGGGCCUGAUACAAAUGGGCACUACUUAAUUGUUGAAUGAAUGUAUGAAAUAUGGAUGUGAACAAGAAGACAGUGGCUAAAUGCCCUGAGAAAGACCUAAAGUACUAUGAGAAGCUGGAAUAAAGGUUCUUUGUGACUAAGAAAAUCAGAGAAGUUUCCACAGAAGUGGUGAUGUUUGUAGAACCAAGAGGGUUUUGCCAAGCAGGGAAGAAUUAAGGGGCUUUUCAGAUAUAGAGAAGAGAAAGAUUAUAAAACAUAAAAAUGGAUGCAAAUGUGCAGUUGAAGAUGGCAUUUAAUGAUUGUAACAAUGAAAUAAGAAAAUUUCCUGAUCAAACAAGGAAGUUUCCUGAUCAACCUUUCCCCCCUCCUAGUCUCUGAAGUAAAGAAUGUCCUUUUGAUGGUUGGCUGGCCCCAGAGUGCCGUUAGACCAGAGCUAUAAUGCCUUACUCCUCAGCUGCUGAUGGGUUAGUGGAGACACGGUAUUGGAAUGAGCUGACUAGGACUAUAGUAGGCCAUUUAAACUGAGGUUAAUUCUUCUUCUGCUCACAUUUCUGGAAUAUCUUGCAGUAGCAAUGCAGUAGAUGGCAUAUGCUCCAAACAAACAAACAAAAUUUAAUAAAAAUCACAUCAAAUUAACCUGUGCUGUGACUUUUAGCUGGCCCAUAAUCUCGAAGUCUAAACUCUACAAAAUUUGACGUCAUGUUCAAGCAGUUAAUAUUUCCAAAUUACUUGGAGGUCCAAGAGUCAGAAGGGUUUGGGGAGGAAGAAAGAGGAGGGACCAGGGAUGGGAGCUAGGGCUGGUCUCAGCCUCUGCAAGAGGCAGUGCUUGGGCUUCAUGCGGUGACGGGUGACAGGGAAACUAGUGGACCACAGCAGCAGGGAAGACUCCACUGGUAGGCCAGGCUUUUCAGAGGAGCGAGAGUGUCAGCCCCAGAUGCACAGGCCCACAGAGCUGUUCCUGUGGACUGGUUUCUGCCAUACCUGGACUACCUUCUUAAUAAGACUUCUUUCAACCUGAGGAAGACAGAAGAGUUAAAGCAAAUGUGAACACUCCAGUGUGGGAGUUACACUCUGUCUUUGUACUCAAAGACAUGAGAAUGGUGGCGGGAGAGGGGCGCGUACCAGGCUGUCUCCUGGAGUCCUGGGUCUGGGCCAGCCUCUGGGGCCCACCGCACCUUGUGGAGAAGCCGGUCACCCCCUUGGAAAGCACACGUUGCAGCUGAGGCUGCAUUCUGUCAACUGGGAAAGCCGGCAGCACCACUGUGAGUCCAGACCACAGAUCUGAGAUCAGAGCAGUUCCAGAAUAGACCUCAGUAAAGUCGGCUGGAAAGGGCUUAGAAACUGCAUGGGACCGCAGACUGACUGCAGUUGUUUUUUAUGACACUGCCCCAUCUACUGGUGUCAGGCAGGAAUGACACCUGUUGAGAUGGUUUCUCGUACAACCAGAUAAGCCAGCAGUUAUAUACAGUCAGGUCACAGCUGGAAAGAAACCCAGCGUCUAAUGUAACAUCUGAGAGUCAGCCUUUUAGCUCACAGGCAGCUUUCUUACUGGCUGUCUCCUAACUUAUUUCUUGCAUAAUUCCCCCCCCUUGGCUCCCCUUCCCCCAACAUCCUAUUGAAUGAACACUGGCUUCAGAGAUGACAGAUGUAUCCAGGACCUUUAAAGUCAUUCAACAAAUAUUUGUUGAGCGUCUACUGUGGAUGUGAUACAGUUGCUCGGGGAUCCUGUACCAAAGAAGACAGACAGGUCUUUGCCCUCAUGGGAUUUCUAUCCUAUGGGGAGGCAGAUAAUAAGCAAACAAAUAACUAAUAAAAAUCAGACAGUGAUAAAUCUCUAAAGAAAAGAAAGCAGUGUUAGGAGUGGAAAGUAGCCAAUUUAGACAGCAUAGCGAGGGACGGCAUCUCCGAGCAGAAACCUGGAUGAGAUGAAGUCAGCCGGGCAAAGAUAUAACAGGAGAGCUUUCCAACCUGUGCCGGCCGACAGGCUAGUCACUGGCCACAUGUGUCUAAUGAGCACUUGAAAUGGACUUGGUCCAAAUUGAAAUGUGA
This is a non-coding RNA of Vicugna pacos (alpaca), 3120 nucleotides long. NCBI's taxonomy places the organism in Eukaryota, Metazoa, Chordata, Mammalia, Artiodactyla, Camelidae. The record is from RefSeq and is a predicted model, not a curated record.